ACCUGCGGAAGGAUCAUUACCGAUCAUUCGAAAGAAUAAACUCUUUCACACCGCGAACUGUACGAAGGAUUGGGGGUCGCCCCGAUGAGGGCGUGAAACGAUGGGAGCGCCCUUCUCUCUCCUAUGUCGGGGAGUGCAAGGGGUCGAUUCUCACGGCCCCCAACGUUUUUUGUUUUCAUUUUCAAAACACACCUCUACCUACCGAAGGAGCGUUCAGCCUCGCGGCGAACGAAAGAUCUAAGAGUUCAUAACUUUUAACGGUGGAUCUCUUGGCUCGUGCAUCGAUGAAGAACGCAGCCAGGUGCGAUAAGUAGUGUGAAUUGCAGAAUUCAGUGAAUCAUCGAAUCUUUGAACGCAAAUUGCGCUCUUGGGUUUUCCCAGGAGCACGUCUGUCUGAGUGUCGGUUUCAAAAAGCUAACGCAGUCAAAUGCGGCGUUGAGGCGUCGCGGCCCCAUAGGCGGCCGCGUCCCUUGAAGUGAAGCACGAACGAUCUGCGCGGCUCGCGUCGCCACUUCGGGGAGGCCAAAAGCAAACUUUGCCCUUCCUCGAGGCGUCGCGAGAUCGAGCGGAGCGGUCGCGGUCGGCGAGAGCCAACGAACUCCACUCUUGACCUCAGAUCAGGCGAGACUACCCGCUGAAUUUAAGCAUAUUAAUAAGCGGAGGAAAAGAAACUAACAAGGAUUCC
RNAcentral lists this ribosomal RNA (685 nucleotides) under Epiactis georgiana. RNAcentral's name for it is "eukaryotic LSU rRNA". The stretch from base 250 to 403 matches the Rfam family "5.8S ribosomal RNA". Lineage: Eukaryota; Metazoa; Cnidaria; Anthozoa; Actiniaria; Actiniidae. The record is from RNAcentral.